UGGGGAAUUUUGCACAAUGGGGGAAACCCUGAUGCAGCGACGCCGCGUGAUUUAGAAGGCCUUCGGGUUGUAAAAAUCUUUUGUAUGGGAAGAAAAUGACAGUACCAUACGAAUAAGGACCGGCUAAUUACGUGCCAGCAGCCGCGGUAAUACGUAAGGUCCGAGCGUUGUCCGGAAUCAUUGGGCGUAAAGGGUACGUAGGCGGAUAAGCAAGUUAGAAGUGAAAUCCUAUAGCUCAACUAUAGUAAGCUUUUAAAACUGCUCAUCUUGAGGUAUGGAAGGGAAAGUGGAAGUCCUAGUGUAGCGGUGAAAUGCGCAGAUAUUAGGAGGAAUACCGGUGGCGAAGGCGACUUUCUGGCCAUAAACUGACGCUGAGGUACGAAAGCGUGGGUAGCAAACAGG
RNAcentral lists this ribosomal RNA (402 nucleotides) under Verrucomicrobiota bacterium. Its description in RNAcentral is "Verrucomicrobia bacterium partial 16S ribosomal RNA". It matches the Rfam family "Bacterial small subunit ribosomal RNA", at positions 355 to 776 of the family's 1533-position model. The record is from RNAcentral. Lineage: Bacteria; Pseudomonadati; Verrucomicrobiota.